Molecule: unclassified non-coding RNA, 205 nt
Filed under: uncultured Asterostroma
Lineage: Eukaryota; Fungi; Basidiomycota; Agaricomycetes; Russulales; Lachnocladiaceae
Description: sequence contains ITS2
Source: RNAcentral
AUACUACUCCCUACAAUUUCUUCAAUAGAGGAAAGUUGUAGAGGGAUUUGGGAGUUAUUGCAGUGCAUACAUUGCUCUCCUUAAAUGAAUUAGCAGUGAUUAUUAUUAAAGAUCCUUUGGUUGAUGUGAUAGUUAUCUCCUCUCAGCCCUUCUUUGAAUAAUCAUUUCUGCUUAAAGUUGUCUUUGCUAAAGAGACAGUUACAAU